RNAcentral lists this ribosomal RNA (446 nucleotides) under uncultured bacterium. Its description in RNAcentral is "partial 16S ribosomal RNA". It matches the Rfam family "Bacterial small subunit ribosomal RNA", at positions 338 to 795 of the family's 1533-position model. The record is from RNAcentral.
CCUACGGGUGGCAGCAGUAGGGAAUUUUCGGCAAUGGGGGGAACCCUGACCGAGCAACGCCGCGUGAACGAAGAAGGUAUUCGUAAUGUAAAGUUCUUUUAAUAGGGAAGAAAGAGAAAUUGGACGGUACCUGAAGAAUAAGCUCCGGCUAACCAGGUGCCAGCAGCCGCGGUCAUACGUAGGGAGCGAGCGUUAUCCGGGUUAAUUGGGCGUAAAGGGUGGGUAGAGGGAAUAGAAAGUCUUUGGUAAAAAUUCUGGGCUAAACCCAGUAGGGCAAAAGAUACUGCAACGCUAGAGUAUGGCAGAGGCAAGUGGAACGACAGGUGUAGCGGUAAAAUGCGUAGAUAUAUGGAAGAACACCAGUGGCGAAGGCGGCUUGCUGGGUCGUUACUGACAUUGAGGUACGAAAGCGUGGGGAGCAAACAGGAUUAGAUACCCCUGUAGUC